AAACCAGCACCUCAAGUGGUCAGGAUGAUUAUUGGGCCUAAAGCAUCCGUAGCCGGCUCUGUAAGUUUUCGGUUAAAUCUGUACGCUUAACGUACAGGCUGCCGGAAAUACUGCAGAGCUAGGGAGUGGGAGAGGUAGACGGUACUCGGGAGGAAGUGGUAAAAUGCUUUGAUCUCUCGAUGACCACCUGUGGCGAAGGCGGUCUACCAGAACACGUCCGACGGUGAGGGAUGAAAGCUGGGGGAGCAAACCGGAUUAGAAACCCCAGUAGUCC
RNAcentral lists this ribosomal RNA (274 nucleotides) under uncultured bacterium. RNAcentral describes it as "partial 16S ribosomal RNA". It matches the Rfam family "Archaeal small subunit ribosomal RNA", at positions 473 to 747 of the family's 1478-position model. The record is from RNAcentral.